RNAcentral lists this long non-coding RNA (1058 nucleotides) under Anas platyrhynchos (mallard). RNAcentral describes it as "lncRNA (ENSAPLG00020011080.1)". Lineage: Eukaryota; Metazoa; Chordata; Aves; Anseriformes; Anatidae. The record is from RNAcentral.
AUGUAUGGACGUUUGAGAUCUUUUAGAUUGUACCAGAGGGUUUCCCCAGACGGCUUCUGCGGGUUGCGCAGACGCAAAACUCCCCCUUCGUCGUGUCAGCCGUGCCGCCAACGGUGGCUGCCUGGCUGCUGCCCUCCCUCCCCGGAGCGACGGCGCUGCCCUUGCAGCCCCUGCAGGUACCCACCCUCCCCUCCGCGCUGCCCCAGGCCACCGUCUGGCACGUGGUGCCGGGGGUCCAGGGGCAGGUGCUGCAGCUCCCCGCCGGGGUGCAGCUGCCACCUGGGGGGCACCUCCCAGCCCAGGGGCACCACCUGCAGCUUGGGCAGCUCCCCGCCGUGGGGCAGCUCCCUGCUGGGGGGCAAAACCUGCAGCUGGUGCAGCUCCCAACCAUGGGGCACCAGCUGCAGCUGGUGCAGCUCCCCGCCGUGGGGCAGCUCCCCCACACCGCUCCUCCCUGUGCCCCCGUCCAUCAGUGGGGACAGCCCAUGGUGACGGGGACACUGGUGCCCCACCAUGCGCUGGGGCUGGGGCCCAGGGCCGUGCUCCAUGGGGAGCUCCUGCACCCCGCAGGCACCUGCCUGUUGCAGGCCCCCGCCCAGCGCAACCCCCCGCCACCCCUCGUCCCGGGGCCUCCGCUGCGGGGGCAGGCGCUCCCCACGCCCCGCACCCUGAGCAGCAGCCGGGGGCAGCUGCCGGAGCCCUGCUUGCACGCCGUGGGGCUCAGCGAGGACCAGGGGCCCCCGCUGCCCGGCCCCACUCCCCCCGAGCCUGCCCAGGCUCCAAGGACCGCCAGCACCCAGACGGCGACGCCCGACGGUGAGUUUGGGGCUGGCACAGCCGGCCGCUUGUGGCCCCACACCCAGGGGCCACGGGAAAGCUGACAUCGCCCGUCUUGGGGGAUUUUCUUGCUUGGUCCUCAGCGGCGACAGCCCCGCAGGUGCCUGAGGAGCCCCCGCAGCUGCCCGAGCUGGGCCCCGAUGCCUUGGCCGAGGCCUUUCCAGAGCUGGCAGGGGACAGCCAGCAGCUGCAGCACGUGCAGGACGAGCUCCUGGCCCACC